AGUCCUCUUCUUUCUGAGGAUGGUUCAGAAGAACAUCACAAUGUCCCACAGGAUGAUAAGAUUGUGAAUCCAGGCGAACAUCUGAACAAUAUUCAUCCUACAGAGACAUAUGUGAGGGGUGAUGAGCAGAAUAUAGAGGACAUUCCUACAGAUAACCGCACAGAUAUACCAUGACCUGGAUAAAUGAGAACCUUCACAGACCUAAAGUUCAUGUGGCUGCAAGGGAGUGUGUGAGACAGAUACCACCUAAUAGCAGAGACCAACAGGUCCCUUUGUACUGACCAUUUCACUAAAAAGGACCGGUGAUAGACACACAGAAAACAUUAACUUAUGAAGAUGCUGGCAUCAAGACAGAAGUGGAAAACUACAAGAGAACAGAUUGAAGGUCUAACAUCAUGAUCUACUGGUCCUUGCCCUGAGGUCUACUGUUAGAUCUGGUGUGAUCUGUUAUACAAACCACUGUCUUAGUCA
This is a long non-coding RNA of Bufo gargarizans (Asiatic toad), 471 nucleotides long. RefSeq lists it as uncharacterized. NCBI's taxonomy places the organism in Eukaryota, Metazoa, Chordata, Amphibia, Anura, Bufonidae. The record is from RefSeq and is a predicted model, not a curated record. The transcript has 3 exons.